GGUGCGGUACCCAAGUGGCCUAAGGGGGAAGUCUGCAAAACUUCUAUUCGCCGGUUCAAAUCCGGCCCGCACCU
This 74-nucleotide transfer RNA is filed under the name Elusimicrobiota bacterium. RNAcentral's name for it is "Elusimicrobia bacterium (activated sludge metagenome) tRNA-Cys". It matches the Rfam family "tRNA". From Rfam's summary of the family: Transfer RNA (tRNA) molecules are approximately 80 nucleotides in length. Their secondary structure includes four short double-helical elements and three loops (D, anti-codon, and T loops). Further hydrogen bonds mediate the characteristic L-shaped molecular structure. tRNAs have two regions of fundamental functional importance: the anti-codon, which is responsible for specific mRNA codon recognition, and the 3' end, to which the tRNAs corresponding amino acid is attached (by aminoacyl-tRNA synthetases). tRNAs cope with the degeneracy of the genetic code in two manners: having more than one tRNA (with a specific anti-codon) for a particular amino acid; and 'wobble' base-pairing, i.e. permitting non-standard base-pairing at the 3rd anti-codon position. The record is from RNAcentral. Lineage: Bacteria; Pseudomonadati; Elusimicrobiota.